UGCAAGUCGAAGCGAGAAACUCAUGACCAAUACUUCGGUAGCGUGAUGAGCGGAAAGCGGCGGACGGGUGAGUAACGCGUAGGCAACCUGCCCUUGCAGAGGGAUAGCCUCGGGAAACCGGGAUUAAAAACCUCAUAAUGCGUAACGGAGACAUCUCCGAUACGCCAAAGAUUUAUCGGCAAGGGAUGGGCCUGCGUCUGAUUAGUUAGUUGUGGGGUAACGGCCUACCAAGGCAGCGAUCAGUAGCCGACCUGAGAGGGUGAUCGGCCACAUUGGAACUGAGACACGGUCCAAACUCCUACGGGAGGCAGCAGUGGGAAUAUUGCACAAUGGGCGAAAGCCUGAAUGCAGCAACGCCGCGUGAAGGAUGAAGGCCCUUGGGUCGUAAACUUCUGUUCUAAGGGAAGAUAAUGACGGUACCUUAGGAGCAAGUCCCGGCUAACUACGUGCCAGCAGCCGC
RNAcentral lists this ribosomal RNA (460 nucleotides) under uncultured bacterium. RNAcentral describes it as "bacterial SSU rRNA". It matches the Rfam family "Bacterial small subunit ribosomal RNA", at positions 56 to 518 of the family's 1533-position model. The record is from RNAcentral.